UGGUCUGGCUUCAAACCCGCGGAUGGAUGGAAAAGAUAGCCCGG
This 44-nucleotide transfer RNA is filed under the name Lotharella globosa. RNAcentral's name for it is "partial Selenocysteine transfer RNA". Lineage: Eukaryota; Cercozoa; Chlorarachniophyceae. The record is from RNAcentral.